This 464-nucleotide ribosomal RNA is filed under the name uncultured bacterium. RNAcentral's name for it is "partial 16S ribosomal RNA". It matches the Rfam family "Bacterial small subunit ribosomal RNA", at positions 28 to 507 of the family's 1533-position model. The record is from RNAcentral.
GACGAACGCUGGCGGCGUGCUUAACACAUGCAAGUCGAACGGAAAGGCCCAGCUUGCUGGGUGCUCGAGUGGCGAACGGGUGAGUAACACGUGGGUGAUCUGCCCCUAACUUCGGGAUAAGCUUGGUAAACUGGGUCUAAUACCGGAUAGGACAAUCGUUUAGUGUCGGUUGUGGAAAGUUUUUUCGGUUAGGGAUGAGCCCGCGGCCUAUCAGCUUGUUGGUGGGGUAAUGGCCUACCAAGGCGUCGACGGGUAGCCGGCCUGAGAGGGUGGACGGCCACAUUGGGACUGAGAUACGGCCCAGACUCCUACGGGAGGCAGCAGUGGGGAAUAUUGCACAAUGGGCGCAAGCCUGAUGCAGCGACGCCGCGUGGGGGAUGACGGCCUUCGGGUCGUAAACCUCUUUCGACAGGGACGAAGCUUUGGUGACGGUACCUGUAUAAGAAGCACCGGCUAACUACGUG